RNAcentral lists this signal recognition particle RNA (97 nucleotides) under Candidatus Planktophila sp. Its description in RNAcentral is "signal recognition particle sRNA small type". It matches the Rfam family "Bacterial small signal recognition particle RNA". From Rfam's summary of the family: The signal recognition particle (SRP) is a universally conserved ribonucleoprotein involved in the co-translational targeting of proteins to membranes. Archaeal SRP consists of a 7S RNA and homologues of the eukaryotic SRP19 and SRP54 proteins. In most bacteria, the SRP consists of a 4.5S RNA and the Ffh protein (a homologue of the eukaryotic SRP54 protein). The record is from RNAcentral. Lineage: Bacteria; Bacillati; Actinomycetota; Actinomycetes; Candidatus Nanopelagicales; Candidatus Nanopelagicaceae.
CCAGAUCCCUCGUACGGCGCUACCGUGCUGAACUCCCCCAGGGCAGGAAUGCAGCAAGGGUAGGUACGCUCUGGCGGGUGUACGGGGGAUCCCUUUU